Long non-coding RNA from Telopea speciosissima, 146 nucleotides. RefSeq lists it as uncharacterized. The transcript is spliced from 3 exons. NCBI's taxonomy places the organism in Eukaryota, Viridiplantae, Streptophyta, Magnoliopsida, Proteales, Proteaceae. The record is from RefSeq and is a predicted model, not a curated record.
GAUCCCCAUUAGAAUUCCAGAAAUCAAACCUAUCUGUUUUGGUGCUCAAACGAAGCAGAAGAAUCGAAUGAACGAAGACGGAAGAGAGAAGUAGAAAAUACUCUCCCCCCUCAAAGAUCAAAACCACAUUGCCACACUAAGAACUU